GAUGAACGCUGGCGGCGUGCCUAAUACAUGCAAGUCGAGCGAACAGACGAGGAGCUUGCUCCUCUGAUGUUAGCGGCGGACGGGUGAGUAACACGUGGAUAACCUACCUAUAAGACUGGGAUAACUUCGGGAAACCGGAGCUAAUACCGGAUAACAUGUUGAACCGCAUGGUUCAACAGUGAAAGACGGUCUUGCUGUCACUUAUAGAUGGAUCCGCGCCGCAUUAGCUAGUUGGUAAGGUAACGGCUUACCAAGGCAACGAUGCGUAGCCGACCUGAUAGGGUGAUCGGCCACACUGGAACUGAGACACGGUCCAGACUCCUACGGGAGGCAGCAGUAGGGAAUCUUCCGCAAUGGGCGAAAGCCUGACGGAGCAACGCCGCGUGAGUGAAGAAGGUCUUCGGAUCGUAAAACUCUGUUAUUAGGGAAGAACAAAUGUGUAAGUAACUAUGCACGUCUUGACGGUACCUAAUCAGAAAGCCACGGCUAACUACGUG
Molecule: ribosomal RNA, 497 nt
Filed under: uncultured bacterium
Lineage: Bacteria
Description: partial 16S ribosomal RNA
Rfam family: Bacterial small subunit ribosomal RNA
Source: RNAcentral